This 382-nucleotide ribosomal RNA is filed under the name Listeria monocytogenes. Its description in RNAcentral is "bacterial SSU rRNA". It matches the Rfam family "Bacterial small subunit ribosomal RNA", at positions 852 to 1236 of the family's 1533-position model. Lineage: Bacteria; Bacillati; Bacillota; Bacilli; Caryophanales; Listeriaceae. The record is from RNAcentral.
CUAACGCAUUAAGCACUCCGCCUGGGGAGUACGACCGCAAGGUUGAAACUCAAAGGAAUUGACGGGGGCCCGCACAAGCGGUGGAGCAUGUGGUUUAAUUCGAAGCAACGCGAAGAACCUUACCAGGUCUUGACAUCCUUUGACCACUCUGGAGACAGAGCUUUCCCUUCGGGGACAAAGUGACAGGUGGUGCAUGGUUGUCGUCAGCUCGUGUCGUGAGAUGUUGGGUUAAGUCCCGCAACGAGCGCAACCCUUGAUUUUAGUUGCCAGCAUUUAGUUGGGCACUCUAAAGUGACUGCCGGUGCAAGCCGGAGGAAGGUGGGGAUGACGUCAAAUCAUCAUGCCCCUUAUGACCUGGGCUACACACGUGCUACAAUGGAUA